AUUGAACGCUGGCGGCAGGCCUAACACAUGCAAGUCGAACGGUAACAGGAAGAAGCUUGCUUCUUUGCUGACGAGUGGCGGACGGGUGAGUAAUGUCUGGGAAACUGCCUGAUGGAGGGGGAUAACUACUGGAAACGGUAGCUAAUACCGCAUAAUGUCGCAAGACCAAAGAGGGGGACCUUCGGGCCUCUUGCCAUCGGAUGUGCCCAGAUGGGAUUAGCUAGUAGGUGGGGUAACGGCUCACCUAGGCGACGAUCCCUAGCUGGUCUGAGAGGAUGACCAGCCACACUGGAACUGAGACACGGUCCAGACUCCUACGGGAGGCAGCAGUGGGGAAUAUUGCACAAUGGGCGCAAGCCUGAUGCAGCUAUGCCGCGUGUAUGAAGAAGGCCUUCGGGUUGUAAAGUACUUUCAGCGGGGAGGAAGGGGGUAAAGUUAAUACCUUUGCUCAUUGACGUUACCCGCAGAAGAAGCACCGGCUAACUCCGUG
This 490-nucleotide ribosomal RNA is filed under the name uncultured bacterium. RNAcentral's name for it is "partial 16S ribosomal RNA". It matches the Rfam family "Bacterial small subunit ribosomal RNA", at positions 30 to 507 of the family's 1533-position model. The record is from RNAcentral.